GCUGAAUCUGGCAUAAGUGUAGUAUGUAAUACUCCUGGAAUUGUUCUAACCAAUGUUGCGAGGGAUCUUCCCCAGUUUUUGCAAGUUGGCUAUCGUCUAAUACCCUAUUUUAUAUUCAAUGCUGAAGAAGGCUCUCGAAGUACCUUGUUUGCAGCUACAGAUCCUCAAAUUUCCGAGUACUGUGAAAUGCUGAAAGCAGAUGACUGGCCAGUGUGUGCAUACAUUUCCCAUGAUUGUCGUCCCACAAAUGCUUCUGAAGAAGCCCAUAAUAUUGAAACUUCUUACAAAGUCUGGGAGAAGACUCUGGAAUUGGUUGGCCUUCCUUCAGAUGCAGUAGAGAGGCUUAUAGAAGGGGAAGAAAUUAAAUGCCGGUAUGGGAACUCCCAGGAGUAACUCUUCAGCACUCGAUAAAGUUGUCAUGCCUCCAAUUCUCUUCUCUUGAUCUAUUUCAGAAAAGGAACAAAGUAGAAACCUGUAUUACGUGAAAAGAAGUUUUUGGCUUUUUGCUUCUAAUUCAGCUUCUAGACAUGCAACUGAUGACAUAUCAAGAGGCAUGGAGUUCUUAUGUCCUUAG
This 574-nucleotide unclassified non-coding RNA is filed under the name Hevea brasiliensis (rubber tree). Lineage: Eukaryota; Viridiplantae; Streptophyta; Magnoliopsida; Malpighiales; Euphorbiaceae. The record is from RNAcentral.